RNAcentral lists this ribosomal RNA (749 nucleotides) under uncultured Capnocytophaga sp. RNAcentral's name for it is "bacterial SSU rRNA". It matches the Rfam family "Bacterial small subunit ribosomal RNA", at positions 28 to 776 of the family's 1533-position model. The record is from RNAcentral. Lineage: Bacteria; Pseudomonadati; Bacteroidota; Flavobacteriia; Flavobacteriales; Flavobacteriaceae.
GAUGAACGCUAGCGGCAGGCCUAACACAUGCAAGUCGAGGGAGAGGUUACCUUCGGGUAACUGAAACCGGCGCACGGGUGCGUAACGCGUAUACAAUCUGCCUUUCACAUAGGGAUAGCCCGAAGAAAUUUGGAUUAAUACCUAAUGGUAUAUAAGAGCGGCAUCGUUUUUAUAUUAAAGCUACGGUGGUGAAAGAUGAGUAUGCGUUCUAUUAGCUAGUUGGAGAGGUAACGGCUCCCCAAGGCGACGAUAGAUAGGGGUUCUGAGAGGGAUGUCCCCCACACUGGUACUGAGAUACGGACCAGACUCCUACGGGAGGCAGCAGUGAGGAAUAUUGGACAAUGGUCGGAAGACUGAUCCAGCCAUGCCGCGUGCAGGAUGAAGGUCCUAUGGAUUGUAAACUGCUUUUGUAAGGGAAGAAUAAGGAGUACGUGUACUUUGAUGACGGUACCUUACGAAUAAGCAUCGGCUAACUCCGUGCCAGCAGCCGCGGUAAUACGGAGGAUGCGAGCGUUAUCCGGAAUCAUUGGGUUUAAAGGGUCCGUAGGCGGGCUGAUAAGUCAGAGGUGAAAGCGCUUAGCUCAACUAAGCAACUGCCUUUGAAACUGUCAGUCUUGAAUGAUUGUGAAGUAGUUGGAAUGUGUAGUGUAGCGGUGAAAUGCUUAGAUAUUACACAGAACACCGAUAGCGAAGGCAUAUUACUAACAAUUUAUUGACGCUGAUGGACGAAAGCGUGGGGAGCGAACAGG